This 531-nucleotide ribosomal RNA is filed under the name Triticum aestivum (bread wheat). Its description in RNAcentral is "partial small subunit ribosomal RNA". Lineage: Eukaryota; Viridiplantae; Streptophyta; Magnoliopsida; Poales; Poaceae. The record is from RNAcentral.
AUGAACAUUCAAAAAGAAUAUCUGGCUGAGGUUGGCUUGAGGAAAAAAGUUGAAGCUGAUUUAGAUAGACUGAUACAUAGAAUUCAAGAGAUGGAGGAAGACAAUAACAAACAAGAAACCUGGAGGGCUGUGGAAGAAAAGAAAUACACUUCAUGGGAAGAGGAGAAGAGAGCUAUGAUGGAUAUGAUCAAGAAGCAGCAAGUGAUGAUAGACAAAUUCAUAGAAAAAGUAGACCAGUGGGAUGAAAAAGAGAUCUCUGGAGAUGAUAUGGGAGAGAAAAAUGACUCUGAUAAAGAUAAUAUUCAAGAUCCUCUGAUAGAAGACAAUUACACUGAACCAGUGGAUUAUAAUGCUAGCCAGGAUUCUGUGGAAUCUCUGGGAUCAAAACUGGGGAUCUCUGAUAAAGAGAAGAAAGAAAAAGACAAAGAAGGACCAACCAGAAGAAGUGACAGAAAUCUAGACAAAAAGGACUCCAAGAUUGAAGAUCUGGCUAAGGAGAGAGCUGCUGACAAGGAUAACUAUGAAAAAUGA